GCUGGUCGCGGCGAUGGAUCCCGCCGGGGCGUGACGCCCGAACCGCCGCACGGCUGAUGGUUCCUGCUCCGGU
RNAcentral lists this non-coding RNA (73 nucleotides) under Cellulomonas sp. Its description in RNAcentral is "Fluoride sequence". It matches the Rfam family "Fluoride riboswitch aptamer (crcB RNA motif)". RNAcentral also lists the same sequence under 1 other name. Lineage: Bacteria; Bacillati; Actinomycetota; Actinomycetes; Micrococcales; Cellulomonadaceae. The record is from RNAcentral.